RNAcentral lists this ribosomal RNA (661 nucleotides) under Phymatophaea hudsoni. Its description in RNAcentral is "partial 28S large subunit ribosomal RNA". It matches the Rfam family "Eukaryotic large subunit ribosomal RNA", at positions 656 to 1270 of the family's 3401-position model. Lineage: Eukaryota; Metazoa; Arthropoda; Insecta; Coleoptera; Cleridae. The record is from RNAcentral.
GAAACACGGACUAAGGAGUCUAGCAUGUGCGCGAGUCAUUGGGAAUUACUAAACCUAAAGGCGCAAUGAAAGUGAAGGUUCGCCUUGCGCGAACCAAGGGAAGAUGGGCGUGCCGUGUUUAUCGCGGCCGCUCCGCACUCCCGGGGCGUCUCGUUCUCAUUGCGAGGAGAGGCGCACCAAGAGCGUACACGCUGGGACCCGAAAGAUGGUGAACUAUGCCUGGUCAGGACGAAGUCAGGGGAAACCCUGAUGGAGGUCCGUAGCGAUUCUGACGUGCAAAUCGAUCGUCGGAACUGGGUAUAGGGGCGAAAGACUAAUCGAACCAUCUAGUAGCUGGUUCCCUCCGAAGUUUCCCUCAGGAUAGCUGGCGCUCGUCGCCUACGAGUCUCAUCCGGUAAAGCGAAUGAUUAGAGGCAUUGGGGUCGAAACGGCCUCAACCUAUUCUCAAACUUUAAAUGGGUGAGAUCUCCGGCUUGCUCGAACUACUGAAGCCGCGAGACACGGAUCAGAGUGCCAAGUGGGCCAUUUUUGGUAAGCAGAACUGGCGCUGUGGGAUGAACCAAACGCCGAGUUAAAGCGCCUAAAUCGACGCUUAUGGGAUACCAUGAAAGGCGUUGGUAACUUAAGACAGCAGGACGGUGGCCAUGGAAGUCGGAAUCCG